This 1990-nucleotide long non-coding RNA is filed under the name Marmota monax (woodchuck). Lineage: Eukaryota; Metazoa; Chordata; Mammalia; Rodentia; Sciuridae. The record is from RNAcentral.
GCCGAGUCUGUAUGGCCCCUGGCAUUUUGCCAACAGUAUUGAUUGACAGGCGAGGCAUUACUAUCCGCCUCUGCCGCAACUUUUGAGUUCUCGCACUAUUUUGGAGUUCUCGUGGGGAUUUCCGGGGAUUCCCCGAGAGUUCCCAUUGGUUGGGGAAGUGCAGGAGGAGGGAUUUCCGGGAGAGAUAUUUCCAGCUGGGGGUUUUCCUGGACAAGCCUCCUGGCGCGUUCGGGAGGAUUCCCCGGGAGCUGUGUGUAGUGUUUUCCUGCAGUUUAAAAAUAAAGUUUGUUCCUGCUUCAGUGGCUCGUGAUUUGUGCCCAGCCAGACUGCGGCAUUUACCCACGUCAUCAGGCCGAUCCAAGAAGCACAAAAUCCAGAAUCCAGUGACCUCCGAGGGCCCUUGUAAGUUAUGUUUUCGGUGCCCAGAUUUCCAUGAUUCCCCAGAAGUAAGACAGCCAUUUGUGGGUCUUAGAAAGUUUACUUAACUAAAAGGUGCGGAUCCCUUGGGCACCAGCAGCUGGGGAGCAGCAGAAGACAAAGAAUCAGGCAAGAGGUUUUGUAUCCAUCCCAGAAAAAGGUGAAAGUGGAGAUAGAUUGGGGAGAAGGAUGCAGAGCUUGGUGUAAAAUGAGAGGAAGAGAAGGAUUCCCAGGAGACGAUCAUAUAAGAUUAAGUUCAACUGUGAGGAACAGUAAACCCCAUUAUAGUGACUUAAACAGACAAAAAGAAUUCUCUUUUCCCCCUCAUUUGAAGGACUCUGGAUGUAGACAGUCCAAGGCCAUUUAGAGUUAGCUGUUAAUGUUUAGAGAACCUGAUGCGUUCUAUCUGUUCCACGAUAUCAACCACUUAGUUUUAUCCUCAGGGUCUGCUGUGGCUGUAAGAGUUCCAGCCAUCACACCUGUACUUCAGGACAUAAGGAAAAGAAGAGGUAGAAAUGCAAAAUGAAGUUCUCUUAAGGAAUUUAUCUGGGAGCAAGACUUCCACUUCAUCUCAUCAGCUAGAAUUCGGUGACACCGAGCUGUGGAAGAGACUGGGAAAUGUUGUGAUAAAAUGUUUGGCUAGGCACAUCGUUCAGCCUUCUACUCGGGAAGAGACACCUCGCACCUAGGUCCCUUACAAAGAAAUGUGGAGUGUAAGGGACAGCGGAGGAGCGUCUGCUUUGGGAGUCUGGCUUGGGACAUGCUGGACUUGAGUGCCUUGGGAACAACUUUAGAGAGUUGCCCAGCAGAUAAUAGAAUACAAACGUGCAAAGCUCAGGAAAAAGUCUGAAGCCAGAGGUCAAGAAGUGAGAGCCACCAGGAUGAAAGGGACAUGUGGCACCCUGGAAAUUCUCCUCCCGUGAAUUAUCUCAGAACACGAACGUGAUCUCACACCUCCUUGUCGUCAAUAUUUCCAUCUUCUCCCAGCUCUCACGAUAAAGCUGAGGGUCCCUAGAGUGAACUAAGCUGAGUUUCCUAGUCUGGCCACUGACCCCCGGCUUCCUCUGCCAUCCCCUUCCCCCCCCACCCUGGGCCCUCUUCCUUGGCGGGUGCUGGCCAAUCUCCCCUCAUCCUCUUUACCCCCAGCUCUGCAUGCUGCAGUAGUACCUCCUGGGCCCUCCCAAGCCUUAAAAUGUUGGCAUAUUGAUUGCAGUUUUACAGACGAAUCGGACCGGAGCUCAAAGUCAAGAAAGAUACCCAAGGUCACAGGAUGAGAAAGAGGCACCAUCAGAGAUCAAAGCCAAGGUGUAGGAGCGGCUGGUACCUUCUCUCUGCGCCCAGCCUGCUACUAUAGGGGGGCUCUCAUGCCCUCCCCAGAAAGAAGGGGGCAGGAGGAAGCCCCAGAACUCAAAAGAGCUGACCCCAGGGGAGGGCUCAUUCCGUCAGCCUGGACGGGAGUCUGCCCACUCCUCCUGCCUUCCUCCCCUCCCACCUUUCUCCCCACUUCCCACAGGAACUUGAUUAAUCCAUCAGGUUUAACCUCUCCUUAACUUCCUGAUUAGUUACAUUUAUA